GCCCGGCUAGCUCAAUCGGUAGAGCGUGAGACUCUUAAGGAGUUCACUCCACAGUCUUCCUGCGGAGGAGUCUGUAAAUCUCAAGGUUGUGGGUUCGACCCCCACGUCGGGCU
Cercophora sp. LCS_1 is the source of this 113-nucleotide non-coding RNA. The record is from the annotation of a GenBank genome assembly. NCBI's taxonomy places the organism in Eukaryota, Fungi, Ascomycota, Sordariomycetes, Sordariales, Lasiosphaeriaceae.